RNAcentral lists this ribosomal RNA (309 nucleotides) under uncultured bacterium. RNAcentral's name for it is "partial 16S ribosomal RNA". It matches the Rfam family "Bacterial small subunit ribosomal RNA", at positions 504 to 809 of the family's 1533-position model. The record is from RNAcentral.
AGAGAAAGCAGUCGCCACGGGAAUACGUAGGUGGCAAGCGUUGUCCGGAAUUAUUGGGCGUAAAGCGAGCGCAGGCGGUUUGAUAAGUCUGAAGUUAAAGGCUGUGGCUCAACCAUAGUUCGCUCUGGAAACUGUCAAACUUGAGUGCAGAAGGGGAGAGUGGAAUUCCAUGUGUAGCGGUGAAACGCGUAGAUAUUAGGAAGAACACCAGUGGCGAAGGCGACUUUCUGGACGAAAACUGACGCUGAGGCGCGAAAGCCAGGGGAGCGAACGGGAUUAGAUACCCCAGUAGUCCCUGUCUCUUAUACA